Non-coding RNA from Labrus bergylta (ballan wrasse), 572 nucleotides. Lineage: Eukaryota; Metazoa; Chordata; Actinopteri; Labriformes; Labridae. The record is from RefSeq and is a predicted model, not a curated record.
AACUCGGCUUUUGGACCUCAUCAUGGCGGCUGUGGACCUAAAGGGAACUAUGAAGGACUUCUGCAGUACGACCUGCCUCUGCUCUUUUAAGUCCUCAAUUAAAUCCCCCAAACACUGCUGCGCGUCUGCGGCAUGUGCAAAAAAGGCUGCUCUACCAAAUGCGGGUUAAUGGUUAAGAACGUCUCUACAGGUUCUGCAGCGACAACUGCCUCGAAGAUUUCCGCAAAGAAAACAGCGCUGCGUGUAAGAACUGCAGCUCCGUCUGCUACAAACCGCUCAGGCUGAACCUGGAGGAGGACACUAAAGACAUCUGCAGUCAGGAGUGUCUGGAAGACUUCAAAAAGGGUAACCAGACACCCAAUCCAUGCACUUGUGCCACAUUUCCCGGCCGGUGUCGGACAUGGUGACUCAUCACGUCGCUGAGAACGUGGUGGAGCUCUUCUGCUCUGGCUCCUGUGUGAUGUCAUACAAGCUACAACCGGAAUUUGCACGCAAGCUUCAAGAAAAUAAAAGUGCAGACCGUAUGAAGAGGAAACACGGAGGCCUGCAGUCUGAACAAGUAAGAAAUACGG